Molecule: ribosomal RNA, 253 nt
Filed under: uncultured bacterium
Lineage: Bacteria
Description: partial 16S ribosomal RNA
Rfam family: Bacterial small subunit ribosomal RNA
Source: RNAcentral
UACGAAGGGGGCUAGCGUUGCUCGGAAUCACUGGGCGUAAAGCGCACGUAGGCGGCUCUUUAAGUCAGGGGUGAAAUCCUGGAGCUCAACUCCAGAACUGCCUUUGAUACUGGGGAUCUCGAGUCCGGAAGAGGUGAGUGGAACUCCGAGUGUAGAGGUGAAAUUCGUAGAUAUUCGGAAGAACACCAGUGGCGAAGGCGGCUCACUGGUCCGGUACUGACGCUGAGGCGCGAAAGCCAGGGGAGCAAACGGG